AUUGAACGCUGGCGGCAUGCCUUACACAUGCAAGUCGAACGGCAGCACGGGUGCUUGCACCUGUUGGCGAGUGGCGAACGGGUGAGUAAUACAUCGGAACAUGUCCUGUAGUGGGGGAUAGCCCGGCGAAAGCCGGAUUAAUACCGCAUACGAUCCACGGAUGAAAGCGGGGGCCCUUCGGGCCUCGCGCUAUAGGGUUGGCCGAUGGCUGAUUAGCUAGUUGGUGGGGUAAAGGCCUACCAAGGCGACGAUCAGUAGCUGGUCUGAGAGGACGACCAGCCACACUGGGACUGAGACACGGCCCAGACUCCUACGGGAGGCAGCAGUGGGGAAUUUUGGACAAUGGGCGAAAGCCUGAUCCAGCAAUGCCGCGUGUGUGAAGAAGGCCUUCGGGUUGUAAAGCACUUUUGUCCGGAAAGAAAUCCUUGACUCUAAUACAGUCGGGGGAUGACGGUACCGGAAGAAUAAGCACCGGCUAACUACGUG
This 486-nucleotide ribosomal RNA is filed under the name uncultured bacterium. RNAcentral describes it as "partial 16S ribosomal RNA". It matches the Rfam family "Bacterial small subunit ribosomal RNA", at positions 30 to 507 of the family's 1533-position model. The record is from RNAcentral.